GACGAACGCUGGCGGCGUGCCUAAUGCAUGCAAGUCGAACGCUUCUUUCCUCCCGAGUGCUUGCACUCAAUUGGAAGGAGGAGUGGCGGACGGGUGAGUAACACGUGGGUAACCUACCCAUCAGAGGGGGAUAACACUUGGAAACAGGUGCUAAUACCGCAUAACAGUUUAUGCCGCAUGGCAUAAGAGUGAAAGGCGCUUUCGGGUGUCGCUGAUGGAUGGACCCGCGGUGCAUUAGCUAGUUGGUGAGGUAACGGCUCACCAAGGCCACGAUGCAUAGCCGACCUGAGAGGGUGAUCGGCCACACUGGGACUGAGACACGGCCCAGACUCCUACGGGAGGCAGCAGUAGGGAAUCUUCGGCAAUGGACGAAAGUCUGACCGAGCAACGCCGCGUGAGUGAAGAAGGUUUUCGGAUCGUAAAACUCUGUUGUUAGAGAAGAACAAGGACGUUAGUAACUGAACGUCCCCUGACGGUAUCUAACCAGAAAGCCACGGCUAACUACGUG
Molecule: ribosomal RNA, 508 nt
Filed under: uncultured bacterium
Lineage: Bacteria
Description: partial 16S ribosomal RNA
Rfam family: Bacterial small subunit ribosomal RNA
Source: RNAcentral